GUCCAGGUCUCUGCAUGCUGAAGCUGGAUGAAGGGUCAGGGUAAGCUGGGGAGGCAGGAAGGGGUCAGUGCAGGAGUGUGAUGAUCACCAGAGGCCUUGUGUCAGGGUUGUUAUGAGAAGGGAAGGAGAAAUACCUCUUUAAAUAAAAGCUUGGGCAUGUUUAGAGCAUGUGCAGAUGCUGAUAGGAGGGACCCUAUAGAGAAGGAGAAUUGAUGGAUAGCGUGUGGUCCUGAGAGUGUCAGAGGGAUAGGAUUUGUAGCUCAGCUCAGGGUUGGCCUGGGACACAAGUAGCAACACCUGUGUGUGAAAAGAGACCAGGAAAGGGGGAUGCAGUGCAGGUGGGCCUUUCUUACAGGUGGCUCACGGGAAGGUGAGGGAGUGCUGGCAGCGACCGUGUUUGCUCUGUGUUAGGAGACUUUGACCUCUGCACUGAGUGAUCUUCCCAACCCAGGGAUUGAACCCGGGUCUCCUGCAUUGCCAGCAGAUGCUUUAUCCUCUGGGCCACUAGGGAAGCCCCAGGGAAAAAGAGGCCUUACUUACUCAAGGAGGAGCAGGCUGCCAGAGUGUGUGAGACCUGACUAGUGCCUUGCUGGCCUCAGCUCCGCCAUUGCAUGUUCAUCUGAACUAGGACCCAAGGGUACUUGGAGAAGGUGUUGGGUGCGGAUUUCUACAAACUGCCAAGGGCUACAGCAAUGAGAACUCUCUCAGCGGUAGACCUGCUUCAGCAUGAAGGACUGCACUUAAAGGGAUGCAUACUAUUCCAGCUCAAGCAACAGAUACUGAAGUGCAGAUCACUGUCCUUUGUUGAAAAGGAUCAGCAGUUUGUCAACAUAGGUAACACGCCAGAGCAAGCCUUGGGAUGCAACUCUGAAAACAGGUUAGGCCCUCUUUU
Molecule: long non-coding RNA, 892 nt
Organism: Bos taurus (domestic cattle)
Lineage: Eukaryota; Metazoa; Chordata; Mammalia; Artiodactyla; Bovidae
Source: Ensembl